This 810-nucleotide ribosomal RNA is filed under the name uncultured crenarchaeote. Its description in RNAcentral is "bacterial SSU rRNA". It matches the Rfam family "Archaeal small subunit ribosomal RNA", at positions 111 to 922 of the family's 1478-position model. The record is from RNAcentral. Lineage: Archaea; Thermoproteati; Thermoproteota.
AACCUAUGGACGGGAAUAACCUCGGGAAACUGAGUAUAAUGCCCGAUAGAACACUAUACCUGGAAUGGUUUGUGUUCCAAAUGAUUUAUCGCCGUAGGAUGGGACUGCGGCCUAUCAGUUUGUUGGUGAGGUAAUGGCCCACCAAGACUAUUACAGGUACGGGCUCUGAGAGGAGUAGCCCGGAGAUGGGUACUGAGACACGGACCCAGGCCCUAUGGGGCGCAGCAGGCGAGAAAACUUUGCAAUGUGCGAAAGCACGACAAGGUUAAUCCGAGUGGUUUCUGCUAAAGAAACCUUUUGUCGGUCCUAGAAACACCGAUGAAUAAGGGGUGGGCAAGUUCUGGUGUCAGCCGCCGCGGUAAAACCAGCACCUCAAGUGGUCAGGAUGAUUAUUGGGCCUAAAGCAUCCGUAGCCGGCUCUGUAAGUUUUCGGUUAAAUCUGUACGCUCAACGUACAGGCUGCCGGGAAUACUGCAGAGCUAGGGAGUGGGAGAGGUAGACGGUACUCGGUAGGAAGGGGUAAAAUCCUUUGAUCUAUUGAUGACUACCUGUGGCGAAGGCGGUCUACCAGAACACGUCCGACGGUGAGGGAUGAAAGCUGGGGGAGCAAACCGGAUUAGAUACCCGGGUAGUCCCAGCUGUAAACUAUGCAAACUCAGUGAUGCAUUGGCUUGUGGCCAAUGCAGUGCUGCAGGGAAGCCGUUAAGUUUGCCGCCUGGGAAGUACGUACGCAAGUAUGAAACUUAAAGGAAUUGGCGGGGGAGCACCACAAGGGGUGAAGCCUGCGGUUCAAUUGGAUUCAACGCCGGG